This 460-nucleotide ribosomal RNA is filed under the name uncultured bacterium. Its description in RNAcentral is "partial 16S ribosomal RNA". It matches the Rfam family "Bacterial small subunit ribosomal RNA", at positions 338 to 795 of the family's 1533-position model. The record is from RNAcentral.
CCUACGGGUGGCAGCAGUGAGGAAUAUUGGUCAAUGGACGCAAGUCUGAACCAGCCAAGUCGCGUGCAGGAAGACUGCUCUAUGAGUUGUAAACUGCUUUUGUACGAGGGUAAACGCAGAUACGCGUAUCUUUCUGAAAGUAACGUACGAAUAAGGAUCGGCUAACUCCGUGCCAGCAGCCGCGGUAAUACGGAGGAUCCGAGCGUUAUCCGGAUUUAUUGGGUUUAAAGGGUGCGUAGACGGUCGGAUAAGUUAGAGGUGAAAGUCAGAGGCUCAACCUCGGAAUUGCAUCUGAUACUGGCCGGCUAGAGAGUAGUUGCGGUAGGCGGAAUGUGUGGUGUAGCGGUGAAAUGCUUAGAGAUCACACAGAACACCGAUUGCGAAGGCAGCUUACCAAGCUACUUCUGACGUUGAGGCACGAAAGCGUGGGGAGCAAACAGGAUUAGAUACCCGUGUAGUC